AUGAACGCUGGCGGCGUGCCUAAUACAUGCAAGUCGCGCGAACAGACGAGGAGCUUGCUCCUCUGACGUUAGCGGCGGACGGGUGAGUAACACGUGGAUAACCUACCUAUAAGACUGGGAUAACUUCGGGAAACCGGAGCUAAUACCGGAUAAUAUAUUGAACCGCAUGGUUCAAUAGUGAAAGACGGUUUUGCUGUCACUUAUAGAUGGAUCCGCGCCGCAUUAGCUAGUUGGUAAGGUAACGGCUUACCAAGGCAACGAUGCGUAGCCGACCUGAGAGGGUGAUCGGCCACACUGGAACUGAGACACGGUCCAGACUCCUACGGGAGGCAGCAGUAGGGAAUCUUCCGCAAUGGGCGAAAGCCUGACGGAGCAACGCUGCGUGAGUGAUGAAGGUCUUCGGAUCGUAAAACUCUGUUAUUAGGGAAGAACAAAUGUGUAAGUAACUAUGCACGUCUUGACGGUACCUAAUCAGAAAGCCACGGCUAACUACGUG
RNAcentral lists this ribosomal RNA (496 nucleotides) under uncultured bacterium. RNAcentral's name for it is "partial 16S ribosomal RNA". It matches the Rfam family "Bacterial small subunit ribosomal RNA", at positions 29 to 507 of the family's 1533-position model. The record is from RNAcentral.